GAGCGAACGCGGAUUAGCCCAAACCAAUAAAGUUUUCUUUAUUGGGGUUGCGGACAUAUCAUAACGAAGAGGUAUCGUAAUUGAAGAGGUUUGGAAAGACCCACCACAGAAGGUAAUAGUCCUGUAUAUUAAACGAGAAGACUUCAGAUAUGAUCCAGAGUACCACGGGACACGUGAAACCCUGUGGGAAGCAGGAGGGACCACCCUCCAAGGCUAAAUACUACCUAGU
Molecule: ribosomal RNA, 229 nt
Filed under: Clostridioides difficile
Lineage: Bacteria; Bacillati; Bacillota; Clostridia; Peptostreptococcales; Peptostreptococcaceae
Description: partial 23S ribosomal RNA
Rfam family: Bacterial large subunit ribosomal RNA
Source: RNAcentral